CACGUAGGGGGCAAGCGUUGUCCGGAUUUAUUGGGCGUAAAGAGCUCGUAGGUGGUUCGAUAAGUCGGGUGUGAAACCUCCAGGCUCAACCUGGAGACGCCACCCGAUACUGUCGUGACUAGAGUCCAGUAGGGGAGCGUGGAAUUCCUGGUGUAGCGGUGAAAUGCGCAGAUAUCAGGAGGAACACCAGCGGCGAAGGCGGCGCUCUGGGCUGGCACUGACACUGAGGAGCGAAAGCGUGGGGAGCAAACAGG
This 254-nucleotide ribosomal RNA is filed under the name uncultured bacterium. RNAcentral's name for it is "partial 16S ribosomal RNA". It matches the Rfam family "Bacterial small subunit ribosomal RNA", at positions 524 to 776 of the family's 1533-position model. The record is from RNAcentral.